This is a non-coding RNA of Peromyscus maniculatus bairdii (prairie deer mouse), 1744 nucleotides long. Lineage: Eukaryota; Metazoa; Chordata; Mammalia; Rodentia; Cricetidae. The record is from RefSeq and is a predicted model, not a curated record.
GAAAACAUAUGGGUACCAUCAAAAUUGAUAAAGGUUCGAUUUGAACAAGAGAGACCUCUUAAUUAGCAGAGGCAAUAGUUCAUCAACCAGCGUGACCAUUCAAUUUAAAUUAACUUAUAUGACUAACAAAAGCUUUUCAUUUGACCAGAUAUAACUUGCUGAAAGGGAACAUCCCCAAAGUUAGGGUUAGGGCAGGGUUUUGUUUUUGUCUUUCAGGAGAAUGAAGUCUAAGGAAUCUGCCAUCACAUUGACUACUGCCAGUAUGCUGUUCAAAUGAACAAGCAGGACACAAAACAAAGGACUGCCAAACCUUGCCAAGACAAGGAGAUAAGGAUUUAUAUGAAAUACAAUCUGUCAGAAUGGCUACAAGCCACCUUGACUCCAACCUGAGGCUGAAGACAUCAGUUGGAACAGGAGUGGCAGAACUUUGGAGGUGCACAGUUGGGACCUGGCUUUCAUCUGUGGAAGGCUGUCUGCACUUGAAUUUGGAAUGGGCCAGUGAUGGAGUAUUGUCAGCAUGAUGGCAGGAGGCUCUUCAGGUGAUCUCCCUGUUGGUGGUAUGUGGAAGGCAAAAGUGGCAAGCAUCCAAGGAGACCACAUUGGAAAUACAGAAAAAUGAUGUAAGUUCAUCAGGAGACAUGGUUGAAGAAGUGUGUUCCUCCAUUUAUAUUAUAAAACUUUGAACAAUGAAUUUAAUUAUCAGACAAUGAAUUAUGAUACAUAUCUCUCUCAGAAUUCUGGGUUAAAACCUCAUCUGUGACCAUCAUCACUGAAACAUGCUUUGAGAGAGUCACCGGAAGCCAAUAUUCACAGGUGGCGCGAUGAACGAUGGUGUUAUUACAUGACUAAUGAUAUAACCAACAUUAAAUAAAUGGCAUUGGAGAGCUGUAGAGGCAAGAAGAUCUAUCAUGUUUCACCUCAAAAGGCACCAAAGAGCCCAGCACUGUGAGAAAUAACAGCAUUGGUACAUUUUUCUCCUACCUAGAGAUGUGAAAUUAACUUGGGUCAGAGCAAUCAAAAUAAGAAAUACAGGAAGUAUAUUUCUGGACUUAAAUAAGAAGACCUGAUCCUGGACACUGUAAAGAAUCUUCCAAUGCUUCAUUGAGACAGAAAUAUAUUUCUUCCCUCUCUGAUGUUAUGAAGAUAAGUAACUAUAGACAACAUGGGCUUGCGAAUUUCUAAACAUAUUUGAAAGUUAUGUUGUUUUAUUGUAUAUAAAGAGUAUUUCACAAUGGCAAUACACAACUCAGGGCCUUCUGGAAGUGACCAAAUAGUCCCACAUAAAGCUGGAGGCAUCACAGGAACUGAUACAUGGCAUCAGCAAAAUACUGUGAUGAAUAGUACUUUAUUGGGAUAAAGGAGCCUAAAUGUAUCUAUUUUGUUAUAAAAACAAAUGCUUUUGGAGAGAAUCGGUGACACCUGAUUGGUAAGCUUAUGUGUGGUAUGAAGAAAGUGCUGCCAAUCAUGCAUCAGGGAAAUUAAGUGGAAGCAGGACUCUUAGUGCCAGGAAUAAAAGUAUAGCAUCACUGUGAGUGUCUGGUAUCCACAAGCGCUCAUCUACAGCAGAAGCAGAGACAAGGUGCAGUAAUAACCCAGACCCUGCUUGCUUUUCCUAAUGAGAGCAUGGAAAACUGACAAUGUGAGACAAUUCACAGUGUCACAUUAGCUUUGUUUUUCAAUCUCUUUCACAACUGGUCUUCAUAAACCCGCUAAUGAGUAGUAAAUUUGACAAGUUUUACUCCAA